AUAUCAAAUCAUAGUUUUUUCUUGAUUCCAGACGUUCAUUGAUCAUCGGAGAAUUGAAGAUAAGUAUAUAUAGAUAAAACCUCGGAUACAACUUCCCUUUCUCUCACGGUCGGAGGCGAAGUCGAGGAUUGGCCGUGUGGAAUAGUGCAAUGCGCUGUAUUGUAAUCCAAAGGAUCGGUCUGUUGCUGGUUCUUUUGAAGCUUUUGGAACAGAGGAAUCCAGCGAAUCAGUUGCUAAACGAUCAAAAUUAGAUGUGCUCCGUAAACAAAGAUCAUUUCUGCAGGAGAAGAUGCCGCUAUCGCAGGAUUCGUCGUUACGAGACGGUGGUCCGUGCAGGUCCUUGCAGCAGGAGUGGCACCCACUGUUGGCAGUCCAGUUUUUUUUUAUUUCGGAAGAAUGCAUCUGACGCCAACUCCUUGGGUAGAACUAAUUGCAAAUUAUUGAUUGCGGUGUUGUGCGGUCACUGAACGGAUGUUUGAUGAAGGUAUUUUGAGAAACAGCACGUCGAGUGGAAAUUCGUGGAGUGUUUUAGACCUUAUGCAGCAAAAAAGUGUUCACUGCCUUCCGCAGCAAACACUAGAGAUCACUGAAGGUGCUUCCAUGUCGCUACUCGAUGACAAAACGGUGUGGCAAGAUUUUUGAAUGCCGAGGAAGCCGUAGCCGACAUUCUGGACAAUGCUACGGUGUUGGGUGGCUUUGGACUGUGUGGCGUUCCGGAGAACCUGGUCGGAGCUUGCGCUAAAAAAGGAGUCAAAUAUUUGACGGUGAUGUCGGACAAUGCCAUAGUAUUGAAAAUCUCGGUCUGGAUCUGUUUUUACAGUAAGCGAAUAAUUAAACGCAUGAUCGCGUCGUUUUUUUGAUGAGAAUGCUGAAUUCGAACGCCAGUUCGGAAAAGGCGAGUUGGAGUCUACGUGUCGGUGGUGCUGGUAUGCCUUCUUCACAGUCACCGCUGCGCUUAUGAAACCCUGGUGCAUGAGGGUGGUGCACAGAUCAAGUACGGUAAAAACGGAACCGUCGAAAUUGCAAGUCAGCCGACGCAGAUGCUCAAUGGAAAACCGUACAUCAUGGAAGUAGCCAUCAUUGGGGCUCUGAUCAAGGCUCAUAUCGCCGAAAAGUAUGGAAAUUUAAUAUUCAACAAAUCGAUUUGUAAUUUCAACCCGAUUAUGUUGGCCUUGGCUGCACCAGUGGGGGACCAAUUGAGGGCAGCCCGGAAUGCAGACGCCGCUGAUGCCAGUGCCACCAUUUGGGCACAAUAACAAAUCAUCAACGAUAAAUGAAGCUGCGUACAGUUUCAAAAUCAGCAACGGUAUUCGCAUGAGCCAGCUAUGUCGGACCGGAAGGUGUCGGAUACCAAGUGACGUACGAGGCUCUCCAACACAUUAAUCCCUCGAGGUAGAUCAGCAAAUCUGUCGGCUGCGAAUAACCACAUCAGUUUCGGAUGGUAAUGAGGUACAUCAUAGAACAACAUUCAUCUACCCUGAAGCCGUAGGUUUGAAGAGAUGCAGAUCGUAGUUAAAGCCAAGUACCUAGCGAACUUCUAUCCAGGUACCCAGUACAGGGAAUCCCCAACUAAUAAACUUCGGAAGGUUUUUUACAAAAGCCUUAAAAUAGAUGGCUAAGAGACAAAUCUGCAGUAUCCGGGGGAUAUUUUAAUUUUCACUUUCCCCUAAGUGGGAUUGUUGGUGCGAGAUUCAUCAUCUUCUUAUUGGUAUUACACCCCCACACUGGGACAAAGCCGCCUCGCAGCAUAGUGUUUAUUAAGCACUUCCACAGUUAUUAAGUGCGAAGUUUUUAAGCCAAGUUACCAUUUUUGCAUUUGUAUAUCAUGAGGCUAACACGAUGAUAAUUUUAUGCCCAGGGAAGUCGAGGCAAUUUCAAAUCCGAAAAAUGCCUAGACCGGCAACGGGAAUCGAACCCAGUCACCCACAGCAUGGUCUUGCUUUGUAGCGUCUUACCGCACGGCUAAGGAGGGCCCCAAAUAGAGAGAUUCAUAGUGGGUUAAUUUUUUCUAUUAACAUUGUUGGAAAUGCACUGUAUACCAAGUAAUC
This is a long non-coding RNA of Armigeres subalbatus, 2048 nucleotides long. RefSeq lists it as uncharacterized. Lineage: Eukaryota; Metazoa; Arthropoda; Insecta; Diptera; Culicidae. The record is from RefSeq and is a predicted model, not a curated record. The transcript is spliced from 6 exons.